CCCUUAGAUGUUCUGGGCUGCACGCGUGCUACACUGAUAUUGCCAAUAUGUCAUUCUUAUCCGAAAUGGAUUGGGUAAUCAAGUAAUGAAAUUUCAUGCUUGGAAUCGGUAAUUGCAAUUUUAUCGUGAACGAGGAAUUCCUAGUAAGCACUAGUCAUCAGCUAAUGUUGAUUAUGUCCCUGCCCUUUGUACACACCGCCCGUCGCUACUACUGAUUGGGUGUUCAAGUGAGAUUCUUAGACCCUUGUUGCAUGGUUCAUUAUUGUGCUCCGAAAGGAAAAAGUUUCAAGCUUGAGUGUCUAGAGGAAGUAAAAGUCGUAACA
RNAcentral lists this ribosomal RNA (323 nucleotides) under uncultured eukaryote. Its description in RNAcentral is "partial 18S ribosomal RNA". It matches the Rfam family "Eukaryotic small subunit ribosomal RNA", at positions 1470 to 1796 of the family's 1831-position model. The record is from RNAcentral.